GACGAACGCUGGCGGCGUGCUUAACACAUGCAAGUCGAACGGUGAAGCGCCUUACUUUUUGGUGGGUGUGGAUGAGUGGCGAACGGGUGAGUAACACGUGAGUAACCUGCCCCCUUCUUCUGGAUAACCGCAUGAAAGUGUGGCUAAUACGGGAUAUUCUGGGUCUGUCGCAUGAUGGGUCUGGGAAAGAUAUUGUUUCGGUGGGGGAUGGGCUCGCGGCCUAUCAGCUUGUUGGUGGGGUGAUGGCCUACCAAGGCGGUGACGGGUAGCCGGCCUGAGAGGGUGGACGGUCACACUGGGGCUGAGACACGGCGCAGACUCCUACGGGAGGCAGCAGGGAGGAAUAUUGCACAAUGGGCGCAAGGCUGAUGCAGCGACGCCGCGAGAGGGAUGGAGGCCUUCGGGUUGUGAACCUCUUUCGCCAGUGAAGCAGGCCUGCCUAGUUUGUGGGUGGGUUGACGGUAGCUGGAGAAGAAGCGCCGGCUAACUACGUG
This 494-nucleotide ribosomal RNA is filed under the name uncultured bacterium. RNAcentral describes it as "partial 16S ribosomal RNA". It matches the Rfam family "Bacterial small subunit ribosomal RNA", at positions 28 to 507 of the family's 1533-position model. The record is from RNAcentral.